This 75-nucleotide antisense RNA is filed under the name Amycolatopsis cihanbeyliensis. Its description in RNAcentral is "ASpks TB sRNA". It matches the Rfam family "ASpks TB sRNA". The record is from Rfam by way of RNAcentral. Lineage: Bacteria; Bacillati; Actinomycetota; Actinomycetes; Pseudonocardiales; Pseudonocardiaceae.
CUUGAUCGAGCCCAGCCACAGCGGCCGGUCCUCGGCCCUGCCCCCGCCGUAGGUGGCCAGCAGUGCCUGCGCCUC